UACAGAGGGUGCAAGCGUUGUUCGGAAUUAUUGGGCGUAAAGAGCUCGUAGGCGGUCUGUCGCGUCUGCUGUGAAAACUCAGGGCUUAACCCUGAGCUUGCAGUGGGUACGGGCAGACUAGAGUGCGGUAGGGGAGACUGGAAUUCCUGGUGUAGCGGUGAAAUGCGCAGAUAUCAGGAGGAACACCGGUGGCGAAGGCGGGUCUCUGGGCCGUAACUGACGCUGAGGAGCGAAAGCAUGGGGAGCGAACAGG
This 253-nucleotide ribosomal RNA is filed under the name uncultured bacterium. RNAcentral describes it as "partial 16S ribosomal RNA". It matches the Rfam family "Bacterial small subunit ribosomal RNA", at positions 524 to 776 of the family's 1533-position model. The record is from RNAcentral.